GACGUAGGGCGCGAGCGUUGUCCGGAUUUAUUGGGCGUAAAGAGCUCGUAGGCGGCUUGUCGCGUCGUGUGUGAAAUCUCAGGGCUCAACUCUGACAUUGCAUACGAUACGGGCAGGCUUGAGUUCGGUAGGGGAGACUGGAAUUCCUGGUGUAGCGGUGAAAUGCGCAGAUAUCAGGAGGAACACCGGUGGCGAAGGCAGGUCUCUGGGCAUUAACUGACGCUGAGGAGCGAAAGCAUGGGGAGCGAACAGG
Molecule: ribosomal RNA, 253 nt
Filed under: uncultured bacterium
Lineage: Bacteria
Description: partial 16S ribosomal RNA
Rfam family: Bacterial small subunit ribosomal RNA
Source: RNAcentral